UUUGUUCGGUGGCUGAGUUGCAAGCGGUAGACUGUAGAUCUAUUAACGGAAUUAAGUUUCCCCAACAAAA
Molecule: transfer RNA, 70 nt
Filed under: Drupina grossularia
Lineage: Eukaryota; Metazoa; Mollusca; Gastropoda; Neogastropoda; Muricidae
Description: tRNA-Tyr
Rfam family: tRNA
About the family: Transfer RNA (tRNA) molecules are approximately 80 nucleotides in length. Their secondary structure includes four short double-helical elements and three loops (D, anti-codon, and T loops).
Source: RNAcentral